RNAcentral lists this ribosomal RNA (515 nucleotides) under uncultured Gammaproteobacteria bacterium. RNAcentral describes it as "bacterial SSU rRNA". It matches the Rfam family "Bacterial small subunit ribosomal RNA", at positions 9 to 517 of the family's 1533-position model. The record is from RNAcentral. Lineage: Bacteria; Pseudomonadati; Pseudomonadota; Gammaproteobacteria.
GAGUUUGAUCUUGGCUCAGAUUGAACGCUGGCGGCGUGCUUAACACAUGCAAGUCGAGCGGUAACAGGUGUAGCAAUACAUGCUGACGAGCGGCGAACGGGUGAGUAAUGCUUCGGAAUCUGCCCAGUAGUGGGGAAUAACCAGCCGAAAGGUUGGCUAAUACCGCAUACGAACUACGGUUGAAAGCGGGGGAUCGCAAGACCUCGCGCUAUUGGAUGAGCCGAAGUCGGAUUAGCUAGUUGGUAGGGUAACGGCCUACCAAGGCGACAAUCCGUAGCUGGUCUGAGAGGACGACCAGCCACACUGGGACUGAGACACGGCCCAGACUCCUACGGGAGGCAGCAGUGGGGAAUAUUGGACGAUGGGGGUAACCCUGAUCCAGCGACGCCGCGUGUGUGAAGAAGGCCUGCGGGUUGUAAAGCACUUUUAGUGGGGAUGAAAAGCGCGAGGCUAACACCGUCGCGUCUUGACCUAACCCAAAGAAAAAGCACCGGCUAACUCUGUGCCAGCCGCCG